This 385-nucleotide ribosomal RNA is filed under the name uncultured bacterium. RNAcentral's name for it is "bacterial SSU rRNA". It matches the Rfam family "Bacterial small subunit ribosomal RNA", at positions 30 to 416 of the family's 1533-position model. The record is from RNAcentral.
AUUGAACGCUGGCGGCAUGCCUUACACAUGCAAGUCGAACGGCAGCACGGGAGCAAUCCUGGUGGCGAGUGGCGAACGGGUGAGUAAUAUAUCGGAACGUGCCCAGUCGUGGGGAUAACGUAGCGAAAGCUACGCUAAUACCGCAUACGAUCUAUGGAUGAAAGCGGGGGAUCGCAAGACCUCGCGCGAUUGGAGCGGCCGAUAUCAGAUUAGGUAGUUGGUGAGGUAAAGGCUCACCAAGCCGACGAUCUGUAGCUGGUCUGAGAGGACGACCAGCCACACUGGGACUGAGACACGGCCCAGACUCCUACGGGAGGCAGCAGUGGGGAAUUUUGGACAAUGGGCGCAAGCCUGAUCCAGCAAUGCCGCGUGCAGGAUGAGGGCC